This 557-nucleotide ribosomal RNA is filed under the name uncultured bacterium. RNAcentral describes it as "bacterial SSU rRNA". It matches the Rfam family "Bacterial small subunit ribosomal RNA", at positions 777 to 1350 of the family's 1533-position model. The record is from RNAcentral.
AAUAGAUACCCGGGUAGUCCACGCCGUAAACGACGGAUGCUAGCUGUUAUGCGUAUCGACCCGUGUAGUAGCGAAGCUAACGCGUUAAGCAUCCCGCCUGGGGAGUACGAACGCAAGUUUAAAACUCAAAGGAAUUGACGGGGACCCGCACAAGCGGUGGAGCGUGUUCUUUAAUUCGAGGCUAAGCGAAGAACCUUACCAGGGCUUGACAUCCUUGGAAUUUCUCCGAAAGGAGAGAGUACUUUAUUGGACCAAGUGACAGGUGCUGCAUGGCCGUCGUCAGCUCGUGUCGUGAGAUGUUUGGUUAAGUCCAUUAACGAGCGCAACCCUUAUGAAUAGUUGUAUUUUUCUAUUCAGACUGCCCCGGUAACGGGGAGGAAGGGGGGAUGAUGUCAGGUCAGUAUUGCCCUUACGCCCUGGGCUAGAAACGCGCUACAAUGGCCGGUACAAUGCGCUGCCAACCGCGAGGGGAGCAAAUCGCAUCAAAGCCGGUCCCAGUUCGGAUAAGAGGCUGAAACUCGCCUCUUUGAAGCCGGAAUCGCUAGUAAUCGUAGGUC